Long non-coding RNA from Herpailurus yagouaroundi (jaguarundi), 545 nucleotides. RefSeq lists it as uncharacterized. NCBI's taxonomy places the organism in Eukaryota, Metazoa, Chordata, Mammalia, Carnivora, Felidae. The record is from RefSeq and is a predicted model, not a curated record. The transcript has 3 exons.
UUACUAACAAUACCACUGGGUAUGCACUUCUUGCCUUCCACUCCAGAUCCGGUGAGCCCACCCUGGAAGAGGAACUGUUAGUUUUCACUGCCAUCCCUGUCCUGUUAGCAUUACCCACCUUAUCAAGCUGGAAAGGAAAAUGGAAAUAGCCCCAGUGGAGAAAGAAAUGAAGGGGCUUACGGAAGGACUCUCACGCAGCUGAGCAAGUAUCCAGAGUGGCGGUGGGAUUACUUUAAGAAUGUGUCUGUUCCUUUCCCGCAAGAUGCUGUCCCUACUGAAGAGCUAACUCAUGUUUAGCAUGAGCUAAGUACAUUGGCCCCAAUUCCUAUUGCCAGUGAUUGGUUUAGGAUGGGCAUAUGACUCAGUUCUGGACAAUAUGAUAAGAGAAGGGCUGGAGGGCUUUUGGAAAAUAUUCCUCCCUAAAUGGUAUCUCCUACAUUGGAAAGAACUGAUGUACAAUGACAAAUAUGUAAUGUCUAGAUCAGUGAUGAGAGCCACUUUCUAGAUGUCCUACCUAAUAAAAGCAAUUUAUCUUCUUCAAGUCA